This 162-nucleotide ribosomal RNA is filed under the name uncultured Trichoderma. RNAcentral's name for it is "5.8S ribosomal RNA". It matches the Rfam family "5.8S ribosomal RNA". From Rfam's summary of the family: 5.8S ribosomal RNA (5.8S rRNA) is a component of the large subunit of the eukaryotic ribosome. It is transcribed by RNA polymerase I as part of the 45S precursor that also contains 18S and 28S rRNA. Functionally, it is thought that 5.8S rRNA may be involved in ribosome translocation. The record is from RNAcentral. Lineage: Eukaryota; Fungi; Ascomycota; Sordariomycetes; Hypocreales; Hypocreaceae.
ACUUUCAACAACGGAUCUCUUGGUUCUGGCAUCGAUGAAGAACGCAGCGAAAUGCGAUAAGUAAUGUGAAUUGCAGAAUUCAGUGAAUCAUCGAAUCUUUGAACGCACAUUGCGCCCGCCAGUAUUCUGGCGGGCAUGCCUGUCCGAGCGUCAUUUCAACCC